CUUUCUCUUGAUUGAAGCGUGACAUAAAAUGCUACAGCAGCCUGGCUUUUCAAAAUGGUUAGCGAUAAGCAUUGCAGUUUCCGUUGCCUUCAUAGAUUGCUUGGCCCAGAAUGAUGAUGACUGGCAGUAUGAGGACUGCAAGUUGGCCAGGGCAGGACCUCCAGCAACAAUAGUUCCAAUUGAUGAAGAAAGUCGGAAUGG
This is a non-coding RNA of Thamnophis sirtalis, 201 nucleotides long. The record is from RefSeq and is a predicted model, not a curated record. NCBI's taxonomy places the organism in Eukaryota, Metazoa, Chordata, Lepidosauria, Squamata, Natricidae.